This 210-nucleotide ribosomal RNA is filed under the name uncultured bacterium. RNAcentral's name for it is "partial 16S ribosomal RNA". It matches the Rfam family "Bacterial small subunit ribosomal RNA", at positions 524 to 732 of the family's 1533-position model. The record is from RNAcentral.
UACAGAGGGUGCGAACGUUGCUCGGAAUUACUGGGCGUAAAGCGCAUGUAGGCGGAUCCAUAAGUCGGGCGUGAAAUCCCCAGGCUCAACCUGGGAACUGCGCUCGAAACUGUAGGUCUUGAGUGUCGGAGAGGAUGGCGGAAUUCCUGGUGUAGAGGUGAAAUUCGUAGAUAUCAGGAGGAACACCGGUGGCGAAGGCGGCCCAUCUGG